RNAcentral lists this ribosomal RNA (1240 nucleotides) under metagenome. Its description in RNAcentral is "bacterial LSU rRNA". It matches the Rfam family "Bacterial large subunit ribosomal RNA", at positions 1564 to 2813 of the family's 2925-position model. The record is from RNAcentral.
UGAAUACGAGAUGCUACGGCGUCGAAGCAGUCUAUGUCAUACUUCCAAGAAAAGCUCGCACUGUCAUAAACAAAUAAUGCCUGUACCAUAACCGACACAGGUGGGUAGGUAGAGUAUACUAAGGGGCGCGAGAUAACUCUCUCUAAGGAACUCGGCAAAAUGACUCCGUAACUUCGGGAGAAGGAGUGCCUUAUUUAUAAGGUUGCAAUAACAAGAUCCAAGCAACUGUUUAUCAAAAACACAGGUCUCCGCUAAGUCGUAAGACGAUGUAUGGGGGCUGACGCCUGCCCAGUGCCAGAAGGUUAAAGAAGUUGGUUAGCAUUCGCGAAGCUGAUAACUGAAGCCCUGGUGAACGGCGGCCGUAACAAUAACGGCCCUAAGGUAGCGAAAUUCCUUGUCGGGUAAGUUCCGACCCGCACGAAAGGCGUAAUGAUUUGGAUACUGUCUCGGAGAGGGGCUCGGUGAAAUAGACUUGUCUGUGAAGAUGCGGACUACCUGCACCAGGACAGAAAGACCCUAUGAAGCUUUACUGUAACUUGAGAUUGAAAUUGGACUUUACUUGCGCAGUAUAGGUGGGAGGCGUUGAUAAUAUUCUUGCGGGAUUAUUUGAGCCAUCAGUGAGAUACCACUCUUGUAAUGUUAGAUUUCUAACUUUGUAUCAUUAUCUGGUCAAAGGACAGUUUCAGGCGGGCAGUUUGACUGGGGCGGUCGCCUCCUAAACGGUAACGGAGGCGCACAAAGGUUUCCUCUGAACGGGUAGAAAUCGUAUCUAGAGUGUAAAGGCAUAAGGAAGCUUGACUGUGAGACCUACAAGUCGAGCAGGGACGAAAGUCGGUCUUAGUGAUCUGACGGUGCUGAGUAGAAAGGCCGUCACUCAACGGAUAAAAGUUACUCUAAGGAUAACAGGCUGAUCUCCCCCAAGAGUUCACAUCGACGGGGAGGUUUGGCACCUCGAUGUCGGCUCAUCGCAUCCUGGGGCGGUAGUACGUCCCAAGGGUUGGGCUGUUCGCCCAUGAAAGCGGUACGCGAGCUGGGUUCAGAACGUCGUGAGACAGUUCGGUCCAUAUCCGGUGUAGGCGUUAGAAUAUUGAGAGGAGCCUUCUUUAGUACGAGAGGACCGAGAAGGACAUACCUCUGGUGUACCAGUUAUCGUGCCAACGGUAAACGCUGGGUAGCUAUGUAUGGAGUGGAUAACCGCUGAAAGCAUCUAAGUGGGAAGCCCACCUCAAGAUAAGUAUUC